AUUGAACGCUGGCGGAAUGCUUUACACAUGCAAGUCGAACGGUAGAGGGGGCAACCCCUCGAGAGUGGCGAACGGGUGAGUAAUAUAGCGGAACGUGCCCAGUCGGGGGGGAUAACGUAGCGAAAGUUAAGCUAAUACCGCAUACGAUCUACGGGUGAAAGCGGGGGAGUGCAAGGCCUCGCUCGAUUGGAGCGGCCGAUAUCAGAUUAGGUAGUUGGUGGGGUAAAGGCUCACCAAGGCAACGAUCUGUAGCUGGUCUGAGAGGACGACCAGCCACACUGGAACUGAGACACGGUCCAGACUCCUACGGGAGGCAGCAGUGGGGAAUUUUGGACAAUGGACGCAAGUCUGAUCCAGCCAUUCCGCGUGCAGGAUGAAGGCCCUCGGGUUGUAAACUGCUUUUGUACGGAACGAAAAGGUCUCUCUUAAUACGGGGGACUCAUGACGGUACCGUAAGAAUAAGCACCGGCUAACUACGUGCCAGCAGCCGCGGUAA
RNAcentral lists this ribosomal RNA (496 nucleotides) under uncultured bacterium. RNAcentral's name for it is "partial 16S ribosomal RNA". It matches the Rfam family "Bacterial small subunit ribosomal RNA", at positions 30 to 523 of the family's 1533-position model. The record is from RNAcentral.